RNAcentral lists this ribosomal RNA (496 nucleotides) under uncultured bacterium. Its description in RNAcentral is "partial 16S ribosomal RNA". It matches the Rfam family "Bacterial small subunit ribosomal RNA", at positions 28 to 506 of the family's 1533-position model. The record is from RNAcentral.
GAUGAACGCUGGCGGCGUGCCUAAUACAUGCAAGUAGAGCGAACGGACGAGAAGCUUGCUUCUCUGAUGUUAGCGGCGGACGGGUGAGUAACACGUGGAUAACCUACCUAUAAGACUGGGAUAACUUCGGGAAACCGGAGCUAAUACCGGAUAAUAUUUUGAACCGCAUGGUUCAAAAGUGAAAGACGGUCUUGCUGUCACUUAUAGAUGGAUCCGCGCUGCAUUAGCUAGUUGGUAAGGUAACGGCUUACCAAGGCAACGAUGCAUAGCCGACCUGAGAGGGUGAUCGGCCACACUGGAACUGAGACACGGUCCAGACUCCUACGGGAGGCAGCAGUAGGGAAUCUUCCGCAAUGGGCGAAAGCCUGACGGAGCAACGCCGCGUGAGUGAUGAAGGUCUUCGGAUCGUAAAACUCUGUUAUUAGGGAAGAACAUAUGUGUAAGUAACUGUGCACAUCUUGACGGUACCUAAUCAGAAAGCCACGGCUAACUACGU